UACGAAGGGUGCGAGCGUUAAUCGGAAUUACUGGGCGUAAAGCGUGCGCAGGCGGUUUUGUAAGCCAGAUGUGAAAGCCCCGGGCUUAACCUGGGAAUGGCAUUUGGGACUGCAAGGCUGGAGUGUGGCAGAGGAGACUGGAAUUCCUGGUGUAGCAGUGAAAUGCGUAGAUAUCAGGAGGAAUACCGAUGGCGAAGGCAGGUCUCUGGGCUGACACUGACGCUCAUGCACGAAAGCGUGGGGAGCAAACAGG
This 253-nucleotide ribosomal RNA is filed under the name uncultured bacterium. RNAcentral's name for it is "partial 16S ribosomal RNA". It matches the Rfam family "Bacterial small subunit ribosomal RNA", at positions 524 to 776 of the family's 1533-position model. The record is from RNAcentral.